This 432-nucleotide unclassified non-coding RNA is filed under the name Turraeanthus africanus. RNAcentral describes it as "partial external transcribed spacer". The record is from RNAcentral. Lineage: Eukaryota; Viridiplantae; Streptophyta; Magnoliopsida; Sapindales; Meliaceae.
GUGUGAGUUGGUGAUUGGAUGGCGCGGGUUGGCAGGCUCCUUGCUUAGUGCAUUGAACUGUUGGCUCCCCGUCCGCCUCAAUUUUUCCCCCGAGCGAUUUUCUUGGCUCGCGGGUUCGUUUGGUAUCCUGUGUUGUCUACCCGCGCGUGGGAAUUGAUGGUUUUCGGUGCUCUCAUCCGCCUCGUGCCUGUUCGGGGUGCGGGGUGGACGCGAGGCGGGCUUCGCGUUCCUGGCGUGCCGCGUUGCGCGGCCGUUGUGGCGCGCGGAGUCUUCGCUCGUGCUCUCGGAUGCGGAACGUUUGUUGCGUGGGCGUGGGGCCUCGGCCUUGAUCCGCCCGAGCUUUGCGCAUUUGUCCCUUGACGCGAACGACGGCCGCUCCCGCCUCGAUCCCGCUGUGCGGGCCGUGCGGGUGUCGGCGUCGCUGAGGAGUGC